This 4895-nucleotide long non-coding RNA is filed under the name Malus domestica (apple). RNAcentral describes it as "long non-coding RNA (MDOM_LNC005353)". Lineage: Eukaryota; Viridiplantae; Streptophyta; Magnoliopsida; Rosales; Rosaceae. The record is from RNAcentral.
GUUGCCUACAGUGACUAAUCUAUUUCGAUUGGCUGGGAAGAUGGGACUUGUUGGAAAAGAGUCAGCUUGGAUCAUCACCGAGAGUAUUGCAAGUCUGCUUGACCCUCAACACGCCUCUGACAUGAAAGGCACCCUGGGAAUCAAGACCUACUAUGCCAAUAAUACUAGUUCUUAUACAAAUUUCCGGAAGAAAUUCCAAACGAAGUAUUCAGAAGGAAAUAGCGCCCAGCCAGGAAUUUAUGCUCUUCGAGCAUAUGAUGCUAUUGGAACAUUUCACAGGCUAUAGGAAGAAUGACUGAUAACACAACUAGCCUUGAGGUGUUGAAAACCGUAUUGAGCAGUUAUACAGGUUUGAGCGCGAACAUGCGGUUAAACAGCGGUGAGGUACUGUACUCUCCAAUUUUCAGGAUUGUAAAUAUUUUGGAUGAGAAUAGAUUCCAAGAAUUGAACUAUUGGACACCGGAACUUGGGUUCUCAUCGGAUGAAGCAGGGGAAAACAAAUUCAGUGAUGUUGGUGGAGUAAUCUGGCCUGGGAACCUAACUAGUGCCCCGAAAGGCUGGGCAAUGCCUACUGUUGAGAAGCCAAUGAGAAUUGGGGUGCCGGGUAAAACUUCCUUCAGCAAAUUUGUGAAGGUUGACUCAGAUAAGAAGAAGUCUGUCGACGGUUUCUGCAUUGCAAUUUUUGAUUUGGUCAUAAAUCGUUUGAACUAUUUUCUGCCGUAUCAAUUCGAAGUUUUCAAUGGCUCGUACGAUCAUCUUGUGGAACAAGUCCAUAAAAAGGUAAAACCAUCAUUUAUUUUUCUAUUUUUUCAUAAAGAUGAAUUUAAAUACUGUUUCGCUCUUUCAUUGGUUUUGAUUUGACUAUAUGCUUACAGGUUUAUGAUGCUGUCGUUGGUGACAUAACCGUGCUAGCUGACCGGCUGGACAAGGUGGAAUUCACUCAGCCAUAUAUGGAGUCUGGUUUGUCAAUGAUAGUUCCGGCAGAACCCAAAAAAUCAACAUGGAUGUUUAUGAAACCUUUCACAUGGCAAAUGUGGGUGGUGACUGUUUCCAUCUUAAUCUACACAGUGUUCAUCGUAUGGUUCCUGGAGCAACCGUCAAAUCCAGAAUUUGAUGGCCCCUUGAAGAAUCAGAUUGGCACAGCAACUUGGUUCACCUUCUCCUCUUUGUUCUUUGCUCACAGUAAGUACCAAUUUUGUACAUUUCACUACCAAAAAAGUGAGUAUUAGAAGCGCUUCUUUAGAGGCGAGGGGUGGAUUGUCCCUGACAUACGCCCCUAUUUGGCUUUGUAGCGGCCAUUCUAAACGCCCCUACCACUCUUUUCUUCUUCAUAAUGUAUGAUAACCAAUGACGAUCUAAAAUUUUCAGGACAAGCCUAACUACGAAAAUAGUCGGGUCCAAAAUUGUUUGAGAAUUGAUCUUAUCCUCAUUGUAAACCUAUGUUUUUAUUUCACAGAAGAGAAAAUCUACAGCAACUUGACGCGAGUGGUGGUCGCAGUUUGGCUCUUUGUUGUACUGAUCCUGACCUCAAGCUACACCGCUAAUCUCACUUCAAUGCUCACCGUUCAGCGACUGAAACCGAAUGCAACAUACAUCGACACCGACUCGAAAGUUGGUUGCGACGGGGACUCAUUUGUCAUUGAGUACCUGCGGAAUGUCCUUGGAUUCAAAAAAAUCAUCGAAGUGAAAAGUGAAUACGACUACCCGAAAGAAUUCAAAAACAAAACUAUAGAGGUCGCCUUUCUUGAACACCCAUAUGCAGAAGUCUUCAUUAAUGAGAACUGCAUAGGAUAUACUGCCACUGCACCCACCUAUAGAUUUGGAGGCUUGAGCUUUGUGAGUAAUGAAUAAAUUGUUCACAUUCUAUUUCUUUCUGCACGUACAAAAUACAAAAAUAUGCAUAAAUAGAACUGGUUACAAACUUUUGGUCGAAAAUAUCUCAAUAGAAGUUACCAUAUUUCUGACCAACAUAGCGAAACUAAAAAAAUCGCUUUCGUGUUCACCUCGCAGAUAUUCCAGAGAGGUUCUCCAAUAGCGCGUGAUUUCACAAAGGCGAUUCUAGAGCUGUUGGAGAAUGGAGAUGUGAAGAAGCUACAAAAUGAAUGGUUGACUCCCAAGGAGUGUCCAAGAAAUACAACUUUGAACGAACCAGAAAGCUUGACCCUCAACAGUUUUUCAGUCCUCUAUGAAAUAUCAGCUGCUACUUCCACCUUAUGUUUUCUGCUCUCUUUUACUAUCCGGCUGAGGAGGUUUCAGCAUCAAGAGGCAGCAGAACAAGGCAGUGCAAGUCCGUGCGCGAGCGGAGAAACGCUUUGGAACAAGGCAGUUAGAAUGGCAAAAUUUUUUUGCAAUAGAGAGAUUAAUGUUCCAACCAGAGCUCCAACUUUAGCACAUUACGCAGAAGAAUGGAGUUCUCCAAGGUGGGAGCCACUGGCAAAGCUACAUAGGAGCAAGGAGGGGCGGCCGCCCCUCCGGUCGUCGGAAAUCGCCAUGAAAGCAAGAAUUCGGCCCCUCCGAUCUUUCUGAACCUACUGAAAUCUGGGGGCGCUGUGCUACUGAGUUUUAAUUUUAUUGAUGUGGUCUUCUUUUAGAAACGCACUACCAGCGCACCAUUUUAAUUCUCUUCCCUCUCUCUCAUUUGUUUAGACUAUAGAAAUACAAAAGGUUGAUGUUUGUUAUUGUUCUUUUUCAAUCCUUGUUAUUACUUCUAGUAUUUAAAAUUAUAAUACAAAAGAUUGAUGUUUGUUAUUGUUUUUUCUCUAUUCUUGUUAUUAUUUAUAUUUAAAAUUAUUUUAUAUUUUGUUCUUUAAUUCUUGAGAAAUGAUGAUUUUGAGAACUUGAUUCAGAUACACAAAACUUUUGUGAGGAAAAUGAUAUUAGUGUUCUUAUUAUGUGAGAGAUGUUUUUGCUUUUAUUGAGAGAAAUGUUUAUAUUGCAAUAGAUGUACAACAAUUGUGUGAUAGUUUGAUUUUUAUAUUGAGAUGCUUUUAUUGAUAAUGAGUCUAUUAUGCGACCGUUUCAGAACAUGAAGCAUUGCCGGCAACAAUUGCAAGAUGUUUGUAUUGAUAAAUUAUUAACGACAUUAAUAUUGUCUAUUAUCUAAAAGAAUUUGAUUGCCUACAUUUUUUUUGGAAUCUAUUAUGCUUUUAAAUUUCGCCCCUCCCCUCGAAAAUUCCUGACUUCGCCACUAGUGGGAGCACUCUACCACUUCAAGUUCCACUACUACCCGAGCAUCCUCAUCAGACCAAAAAUCCACCAGAAAUUGAAUGCCUUACAAUCCAAUCCAAUACAACACGCCUAAACCAAAAUCAACCCAACCGGUUCAAUUCCCGUGACUUUACUAGCUAAAAUGCCCGCGCGAUGCUGCGGGUUGUAAAACUGUGUUAAACGUGUGAAAUAUAUUAAAAUCUAUUUGUAUUCUCAUCAAAAUCUAAAAAUCAUCCAAAGUGUAUUUGCAUAUCACAAAAUAUAAAAUGUCUUGAGUAAAUAUAGAAAAUCUUAAAUGCAUUUGGGCACACGUACCAUUUGAACAAUAGGGAUAGGGUUCUUGGUAUGCUGCAACCAGUAAAGUAGCUAGGUGCAAAUAUCAUCCAUAUUUUCCCAUCUAUAUUAUGAAAUACUUAUUGUUCAAAAUACUCUAGCAACCUUUAUACAACAUAUUGGUUGACCAAUCAAUUUUUCAAAUAUUGAUCCGAGUAGUACAAAAGUAUGUAAUCUCACAUCUAGGAUUGCCCAUCCCUAUAUAUACAGCAAAAUAGCUAUACAACUCCAUCAUUGCAAGUACUCAUAUCAUCUUUCAUUACAUCCCUGACAAAAAAAAGAAAAAAAAGAAAAAGAAAAAAGUGAUUCAAAAAUAUAUUUUAAAGUAGACUUUCAAUCCCCCCCGCCUGGUUCGUUUGCCUAAUCCCUAAGCCCACUCAAAACAUAGAAGAGUUGGACAGUUGGGUCUUAACCUUAAGCACACUCACAUACAAUAUAGUUUGUCUCUCGGAUCACAUUCGUUUAAUGGAUUUUUUGUUAGCCAGAUAUAAAAAAUAAAAAAAUAUUGGGUAAAGCAGUUGACACAUGACAUGACGGUAUUUAUAAUAGUUAAUUAGUUUGGACAUGUAUAAGUAUUGAUGAAGAUUUUUGAUUUUUCGUUUUAAUUUCUGUUGCAGCUGAAGAGUUGAUAAAGGAAAAGAAUGUAGAAGUAAUAGUUGGGAUGGAGACAUGGCAGGAAGCAGCUCAAGUAGCUGAUCUUGUCGGAAACAAGGCUCAAAUUCCGGUGAUUUCAUUUGCAGCACCCUCUAUAACCCCACCACUAAUACAACGCCGAUGGCCAUCUUUGAUACGAAUGGCAACAUAUGGUUCUGUUCCGAUAAAAAUGCAUUGCGGAUAUAGUUUCAGCCUACCAUUGGAAAAGGGUAGUUGUGGUAUACGAAGAUGAUGGCUAUGGCGGCGAUGUUGGGAUGCUAGCUCUUUUGACCGAGGCCCUUCAAGAUGUCGGUUCAAAGAUUGAGCACCGUUUGGUUCUUCCGCAGAUUUCUUCGCUGUCUAAUCCAAACGGGGUCGAGCUAGAAGAUGUUGAGGCUUCCCACCAUGCAUUCUCGGUUGUUUAUCAUUCUCCAGUCAUCGUUGCCUACGGUGACUAAUCUAUUUCGAUUGGCUGGAAAGAUGGGACUUGUUGGAAAAGAGUCAGCUUGGAUCAUCACCGAGAGUAUUGCAAGUUUGCUUGACCCUCAACACACCUCUGACAUGAAAGGCACUCUGGGAAUCAAGACCUACUAUGCCAAUAAUACUAGUUCUUAUACAAAUUUCCGGAAGAAAUUCCAAACGAAGUAUUCAGAAGGAAAUAGCGCCCAGCCAGGAAUUUACGCUCUUCGAGCAUAUGAUGCUAUUGGAAUCAUUUCACAGGC